Long non-coding RNA from Osmia lignaria (orchard mason bee), 318 nucleotides. RefSeq lists it as uncharacterized. The record is from RefSeq and is a predicted model, not a curated record. NCBI's taxonomy places the organism in Eukaryota, Metazoa, Arthropoda, Insecta, Hymenoptera, Megachilidae.
ACUAAUUUCAGUGAGAAGCAAUGCAAUUUCGAAUACGUUUUGAAGAUAAAUAAUCAAAACAAGAGAAUAUCUAUUCUUAAACUUACAUUAUAAUGGCAGGUGUUACAAAAUUUAUGAAAAAUGUUUAUCACGAUCCUUUUCAAUGGUCAAUAGUUAAAAGCAUUGGAUUCUUCAUAUUAGGGGUGAAGAUUGCUCUUGAAUGUAAAGGAAUGACCCUGAUGCCAACCACCUCUUAAAAAUUCCAAAUAUAGAAAUAAAAAUGUAAAGACUUAAUGUAUUGCAGUUCAUAAUACAUACAUGCAUAUUUUAUUAUCUUAA